This 1835-nucleotide ribosomal RNA is filed under the name Sphaeronella uyenoi. RNAcentral describes it as "SSU rRNA". It matches the Rfam family "Eukaryotic small subunit ribosomal RNA". The record is from RNAcentral. Lineage: Eukaryota; Metazoa; Arthropoda; Copepoda; Siphonostomatoida; Nicothoidae.
UAGUCAUAUGCUUGUCUCAAAGAUUAAGCCAUGCAUGUGUAAGUACAAGCCUUAUUAAGGUGAGACCGCGAAUGGCUCAUUAAAUCACACCUAAUAUACUGGAUAAUGUCUUUACUCGGAUAACUGAGGUAAUUCUUGAGCUAAUACGUGCGAAAAAGCCCUGAACGAGCUAUCUAUAUGCGAUUCUGUUGCGUAUAGGGUGAGUGAAGGGCGCUUUUAUUAGAUCAAAACCAAGAGGCUUUAUUGCCUUUUACCCUUUUGGUGAAUCUGAAUAACUUUGUGCUAAUCGCAUGGGUCUACCCCGGCGAUGUAUCCAUCUAAGGUGUGCCCUAUCAACUGUCGACUGUGGCAUAGACGCCCACAGUGGUUUUGACGGGUAACGGGGAAUUAGGGUUCGAUUCCGGAGAGGGAGCCUGAGAAACGGCUACCACUUCUAAGGAAGGCAGCAGGCACGCAAAUUACCCACUGGUCGAAGACCGAGGUAGUGACGAAAAAUAACGAUGCCGGACUCUUCCGAGGCCCGGUAAUCGGAAUGAGUACACUUUAAAUCCUUUAACGAGGAACAAAUAGAGGGCAAGUCUGGUGCCAGCAGCCGCGGUAAUUCCAGCUCUAUAGGCGUAUACCAAUAUUGUUGCGGUUAAAAAGCUCGUAGUUGGAUCUCAAAGCAAGCGGGGAGCGGUCCGAUAAACGUCGGUUACUGCUCUCUCAAUUUUGUUAGCUUGUGUGUUAUUGUGACGGAGGCUUCUAAGUGCUCUUCACCGGGUGUUUGGAGGUGCCGUCGGUUUUACUUUGAAAAAAUUAGAGUGCUCAAAGCAAGCUUGAAUACGCUUGAAUAUUGUGUGCAUGGAAUAAUAGAAUAGGAAGUCGUUUCUAUUUUAUUGGUUUUCGGAAAUUGACUUAAUGAUUAAUAGGGAUGGUCGGGGGCAUUAGUAUUCAGGCGACAGAGGUGAAAUUCUUAGACCGUCUGAAGACUAACUACUGCGAAAGCAUUUGCCAAGAAUGUUUUCAUUAAUCAAGAACGAAAGUUAGAGGUUCGAAGGCGAUCAGAUACCGCCCUAGUUCUAACCAUAAACGAUGCCAGCUAGCGAUCCGCGGAACUUUUAUUUUUUGAGUCCGCGGGAAGCUUCCGGGAAACCAUAAGCUUUUGGGUUCCGGGGGAAGUAUGGUUGCAAAGCUGAAACUUAAAGGAAUUGACGGAAGGGCACCACCAGGUGUGGAGCCUGCGGCUUAAUUUGACUCAACACGGGAAAUCUCACCAGGCCCGGACACUGGAAGGAUUGACAGAUUGAGAGCUCUUUCUCGAUUCGGUGGGUGGUGGUGCAUGGCCGUUCUUAGUUGGUGGAGUGAUUUGUCUGGUUAAUUCCGAUAACGAACGAGACUCUUUCCUGCUAAAUAGUUUAGUUUGCGUUCCUUUUCUGGGCACGCCUAAUUAUUCUUCUUAGAGGGACUGGCGUCGUUUAGACGCAUGAGAUGGAGCAAUAACAGGUCUGUGAUGCCCUUAGAUGUUCUGGGCUGCACGCGCGCUACACUGAAAGGAUCAACGCGCAAUCCCCUUGUCCGAGAGGACUAGGUAACCGCUUGAACCCCUUUCGUGGUAGGGAUCGGGGCUUGCAAUUAUUCCCCGUGAACCAGGAAUACCCAGUAAGCGCGAGUCAUAAGCUUGCGUUGAUUACGUCCCUGCCCUUUGUACACACCGCCCGUCGCUACUACCGAUUGAACGUUUUAGUGAGGUAUUCGGAUUGGCUUUUUUGAGGGAGAGAAAUCUUCUUUGAAAUGAUCGAAAAGAUUCCCAAACUUGAGCGUUUAGAGGAAGUAAAAGUCGUAACAAGGUUUCC